AUGCUGAAACCAAAGGAAGUGGAGUCCGACUUCCUGUUUUUUUGGCGCUCCGAACAGCAGCGGCGAUUAUCGGAGCAGAACUCUGAUAAACGACCACGUGUGAAUCAUCUCCACGCAUCCCAUCAGAGUCCUGCAGAACCUUUUGGUUCCCCUCCGAUCCAAAGGGCUGUCCUGCUCCAGGGCAGCGUUCCAGCAGGAACUGGUGUCGUCAGCGCCGGCGCCCCCCUCCCGCGGGUUUCCGCCCCUUCUUUAUCUACAGGAAGUGCAGGAAUGAGCGCCGCGGCGCUCCAGCUCACACGCCUUCACUCUCCCAUCGCUGGGUGUUCAGGAUCCACCAUGAAGACCGCCGGCGUUCCCGUCCUGCUCCUGAUGGCGUCCGCACAGGUUCUGGCAACAGCACCUACAGCAACAACAGCAACAGCAACUACAGCAACAGCAACAACAGCAACAGCAACUGAACUGAUAGUUGCCUCGACUUCUGCCGUUGCCGCGGAAACAGCGACGGCACCAACAACCCAACAGGCAACUGAAACUGACGCCACCACGUUGGAUCCAGCAACGGCACCUUCGGCAACGCCCCCGAACUCGGCGCCGCCAGCGGCACCGGCAGCUUCCGCUCAGACGUCCACGGUCCUGACGACCAGCGGAGGGCGGCGGACCGAUAAAACAGCAGCUCCGUCAACCACCAAGCAGACCGUCACCAUGGCAACAGCCACUCCCCACGCUCCAGGAGAGACGAAGAUGACCGACGACAACAAAGGUGUAGCCACUCCCACCACAGGUGGAGCCACUCCCACCACAGCGCCGCCCCUGACGGCCUCUCCAGACAGCGGCGCUGGUUCUCAGACAGGAAGUGACAGGAAAACCGCCCAGUCAGACAAGCAGCUGUGGUGGAUCUUGUUGCCGGCCCUUCUGGUCGUCGCCGCCGCCGCCGCCAUUUACCUCAAGUUCCGGAGCAAGAAGGUCCACGGCCAGACAGAAAUCAUGGACACGGGAAUGGAGAACGCGUCCUUCCAGAGCCGACCCGAGAGCGCCAAAGAUGGCGUCAUGCUGCUCGGCGUGAAGUCAUCGGCCGGGGACGAGAACGCUGCUGCGAGAUGAAGAGGAGAAGUGAUGAAGAGGAGAAGAAGUGAUGAAGAGGAGAAGAAGUGAUGAAGAGGAGAAGAGGAGAGGAAGAGGAGCAGCAGCGUCGCU
RNAcentral lists this long non-coding RNA (1194 nucleotides) under Takifugu rubripes (torafugu). Its description in RNAcentral is "lncRNA (ENSTRUG00000031265.1)". Lineage: Eukaryota; Metazoa; Chordata; Actinopteri; Tetraodontiformes; Tetraodontidae. The record is from RNAcentral.